Long non-coding RNA from Drosophila pseudoobscura, 6761 nucleotides. RefSeq lists it as uncharacterized. The record is from RefSeq and is a predicted model, not a curated record. NCBI's taxonomy places the organism in Eukaryota, Metazoa, Arthropoda, Insecta, Diptera, Drosophilidae. The transcript is spliced from 2 exons.
AAGAUAUGCAUGGUCGUGCAUUGUCUUGGGGAUUGACUUCGAGAAGCUGAAUUGCGUAGCAGUUUCUAAAAGAACUUAAAGCCCCGCACUCGAGGCUAACCAAAUUACUAGGCAUAGUAACGAACCUGUAGUAUCUGGCCGGAUAGGCCACUCUGCUAAAUAGCGCCUUCCAAUGUUGCUGUCGGAUUAGGUUUCAAAGUGGAAUAGCUCUACUGUCUACCCACGAAAAUGGGAGCGUGUUGUUUGGGGGAGGAACCUGUCCAUACCGUUGCUGAUCAUUGUCUGCCAUUUUGGCCUGGAUCAGGAUAGUCAGUGGCUUAGAGCUACGACCUGCCCGACCCAUAAACCUUGUCUUCUUCUUUAGUUUUUCUAUUGUUGUUCCGUUUUUGUGUGUUUGACAGACGUAGGUGGAAUGGCUCUGCUGUACUGUGGUUCUGGACAAUUUGGUGGUCCGCGAUCCAGGUUUUUUUUGUGUUUUUGCGACCUUCAGUAUAAGUAGAGGGCCAUCGGUUUGUCAGGGUUUCGGAUUGCUCGGAUAUCCGUCAGUGGUUUAGAACUACCGAACGGUUCCAGUUCUUUCGAUGACUCAUUCUACUGAUCGUUGAUUGGUAAUAAUAUCACCAGAGUCAGUGGAGGACGCAGGGGGACAUUGGACGAAUGGUACAUGGUUUCCGAAUUUUGUGGAUACAGAGUAGAUAUAUCGAUCGUUAAAAGUUAAUAAUCUAGUGUAGAAAAGAAAAACUAUAUAAAAGUAAAAUUAGGAUAGGAUGUCAUUAGAUUGGAUUUUUGCCGAAAUUGAUCAAAACGACCAUUCCGAUAUUAUCUUUUGUAUUUGCGUAAGACAGGUAGAAUAUCGGACACAGCUUUUAAGAACAAGUUGUAACCACGUAUUUCAGUUAGUUUGUUUUAAUACGAGAAGAAGUGAAAAGACUGUGUGCGCGGCGUGCAACAAACCCCUACAAUCAUCCGCCGCUAGCUUAGCGGAGGAAUUAGCAUUAGCGCAGGCGUGCGCCUCGAACGUAGAGUCUUCUCAGCUUCUAGUGAGAACCAGAUCACAGCGUGUGACAGCAGUUGAUGCGAAUACUGAAAAUUUACCGGCCGUUGGUCCAACUGAAGUCCGUGUACCAAUCAUGCCAGUUUCGAGUGGUGAACUAGUGAAUGAAGCAAGCCCAGGCUUCGCUCAAAUGGCACAGGCGUUGACGGACGCUAUAGGUCAAAUCGGGUUGUUGUCAAAGCCAUGGAAAUAGGAAAUAGAAUAAUGUCUCGGUAACCCCAUGGGUAUCCCAACAGACAGCGGGACUAUGACCAGAUAGGAUUGGACAAAUAAUCGCAGGAUGGAAGGUGCUGUUUUCCGGAAAUUCGUCCAUGUCGGUGGAAGAUUUCAUAUAUCGGAUAGAAGCGCUAACCAAACAGACCUUAGAGGGCAAUCUCGAUCUAGUGGUCAGAAACGCAGAAGCCGCACGAACUAUUUGAUACAUUUUACGUAGCCAUUGUAACCUUAUCCGACAAUCUCGUCCACCCCAUGUCAGAAAUAUCGCUGUUGGAAGUGCUAAAGUCGAAUCUCUUUUCCGAUAUUCAACAUGAAAUUUUAUACAUUUCCAUUCUGUAGGUAGCACAAUUGCGCAAAAUAGUGCGUACUCACGAGCGCUUUUUGCAAACAGUGGCUAAGCCUAUGGGCAGCGCUGAGCCGAAGCGUAUUCCUAUACGACGACAGGUGCAUGAAAUUGUGGUACAGACAGACAAGGAAGGCGAUGAGGUCGAUGAAACAGAACAGCUAGAUAUCGCUGCAGUAACCCUUUCCUGUUGGAACUUGUGAUGGACCUAUUUCAGGCUAAGGUAAGCUCAGUGACGUCCAGGGGUCAAUCCACAAGAAAUUCGUAGAAAUAGAUGGAACCUUAACGGCGGCGUCGGGGGUGGCCUAUCGUAGAGAGGUGGGUCGGGGCUAGAGUGGGCGUCUCUCGUCGUGUAUACGGAACGGCGUGCGUGGACUCGGGGUGGGGUAGUGUCGGUGCCUCGUCUAGUUCGAAUGAACUUACUCAAUUGGGUGUUACUCUGAUAAUUUGACACUUUAUUAUAAACCUUAGCACUUUAAAUUAACUUAGUUUGAUUGGUCGCCGGUGUUUCCCGUAGGUUCCUGGUACAACGUCUGUACUCCGAACCGAGUUUCUGCGCCAGUUGUUUCUUGGUUCUGGUCGUCGUCUUUUUAUAAGCCCGUAUUGCUGAGUCCGCGGGUUCGAAAGUGCACUUCCGCGUCGGGGUCGGGGCACUUCGUCGUUCUUGGUGACCGUCGGAAACUUCCGCGGUGUCAUCUUUCCGCAGUUGAUGAACCCGGAAGACUGCACUUGGCCUGGAGUGGGGGAAGUCCGUGUGACCUGAUGUCUUUGGUCAGCGUUAUGGAGUCGGCGCGUGUCGAUCGGUGGCUACGUGUAGAGGGGGGGCGUUGGUUGCGGGGUGUGGUGUGAUACGCUCAUUAUAUGUCGGGGGACGGAUUGUAUCGAACCCUUUUAGGUUCGUUACAAACUGUGGUUGUCAGGGGCAUCGGCAUCAAGACUGCGUAGGUGAUCGCACCGUCUUUUGUUACGGCUGUGGCAAACGGGAUACACAUAAAUCGUCGUGCUCUAGGUGCAACGAUCCAAAAAACUCGUCAAGCCAUGCACAAUCGACAGGUGCACGCAAACCAAACAGUUCGAAAGCAACGAACACCAUUUAAUGGACGUUUCGACAGUUCCAUUACUCCCGGACUUACAAAAACUCCCAGACAUUCCUUCACACACUUGUAUUUUAACCCCAAGUAGGGAAAGAAUUCAACUAACGACUCGAUCUCGAAAGCGAUUGCUCCAAUAUCGGCAAACUGUCAAAAACGAGUGCUCUAACGUAUAGGCGUCAGUCGUUAAUACGUAUAAGUACUGGCGACCCUAUGCGGAAGUCACCGUACUGGGAAGGACGCUCAGUGGACUUAUGAAUACCAGUGCAUCCAUAAGUUGCAUAGGUGGGAAGUUUGCGGCCGACCUGUUUCAGAAUCCGAACCAGAUCAAGCCUGUGAGAGCAGCAGUAAGUACGGCGGAUGGGCAGAGCCAGCCAAUAAUUGGCAAGGUCACCACCGAAGUGGGUUUUCAAGGCCAGAAGAAAGUAUUGAAAUUGUUUGUAGUCCCAUCCUGGGCGCAAGACCUAUAUCUAGGCAUAGACUUUUGGUCUCGUUUUAAUUUGUUACCUGCUUUUCUAGCCCAUAAAUCUUCCAGUCCAGAGUUAUCAGGUUUAGCAUUCGAUGGUACGUUACAUGUGUGUUUGUCAAAGCAGCAGCAAGCUCAGUUAGCAGAGACGGUCAACUUGUUUCCAUCCUUUGCGAAUCAAGGUCUGGUUGUCGCACAAAAUUGAAGUGGGCAACGCUAGGGCAAUAAAACAACGACAUUAUGCCGAGUCUCCAGUCGUAGAAAGGCUGAUGUACGUAGAGGUAGACCGAAUGUUAGCUCUUGGAGUUAUCGAAGAAUCAGAUCGCGCAUGGUCGUCACCCGUGGUCCUCGUUCGUAAACCUGGAAAGGUGCGAUUAUGCAUCGACAGUCGGAAACUUAACGAAGUCACUGUUAAGAACGCUUAUCCCAUGCCAUUGAUCGAUGGCAUUCUCAGUCGGCUUCCUCGAGCUGAGUUCAUCUCAAGCAUCGAUUUGAAGGACGCCUAUUGGGAAAUUUCGCUGGAAGUAAGCGCUCGUGAAAAAACGGCGUUUACCAUCCCAGGGCGCCCGUUGUAUCAGUACACGGUCCUGCCCUUUGGGUUGUGUAAUGCACCCCAAACGAUGUCCAAGUUGAUGGAUAAAGUGAAACCGCCAUCUCUACGAAAUGAGAUAUUUAUUUACCUAGACGACUUGUUGGUGAUAUCUGAGUCACUUGAGCAGCAUAUUCAAGUUCUCAAUGUCCUGUCCGCCCGAUUACGCGAAGCAGGUCUGACCAUUAACGUGGAGAAGUCCAAAUUUUGCCUAAAGGAGGUCAAAUACCUAGGCCAUGUUAUAGGCAACAUAACGAUUUAAGAGUUUCCGGUCCCCCGAUCCGUAAAACAAGUCCGCAGGUUCUUGGGUCUCACUGGUUGGUACGACAAAUUCAUAAAAAAUUAUGAGGGUAUCGCUGCGCCUAUCUAAGAUACACUUAAGAGCAAGCGAAAAUUUGAAUGGACCGAUGAAGCACAGAACGCGUUCGAUUACUUAAAAUCACAGAUGUGUAACACUCCUGUGUUGCGCAGUCCCGAUUUUACCAUUUCCUUUUCAAUAUAUUGUGAUGCGAGUCACACAGGAGUGGGUGGUGUCCUGAUGCAAUCAGAUGAAGAUGGCAUCCUCUGAAACUGCAGGGCUUCACCUUCAAGAUUUUUCAUAGAAAGGGUAGUCAGAACAUCGUUCCGGAUGUCUUAUCACGAGUGCAUACCGAAGCCUUAUCGUUUAUUGGCAUUGAUAGCCUAGUAGACGUUCAAUCUAAAGCGUUUAAAUCAACCAACUAUCAGGAACUCCUUGCGAAAAUUCAAGCUAAUCCAGAUCGUUUACCUGAUGUAAAAGUAAUGGAUAUCCUUCUUUAUCGCCACUUCUUUAUGAACACGCCACUGGUGAACAAAUUAGUGACGACAUGUGCUGAAAACUGUGGGUUCCCAGAGAACGCCACGAGGCCACGAACAUCCCUUAGCUUCUCACAGUGGGAUCAAUAAGACGCUAGAACGAGUUCGACGCUUCUAUUAUUGGCCAAAUUUAGUGGGCGAUGUAAAAGCUUUUAUAAACAACUGCGAAGUGUGCAAAUGUUGUAAGCACCCCAAUCGUCCGCUAGGUCCGCCAAUGGGCAAAGCAAGAGAGACCUUUCGUCUAUUUCAAAAACUUUACGUCGAUUUUCUAGGUACGUACCCCCGAAGUCGAAUAUAGGCAUUUUUGUAGUGCUCGAUAAUUUUUCUAAAUUUCCUUUCCUAAAAAUGGUAAAGAAAUUUACGGCGGAUGCUGUAACUCGGUUCAUGGAGGAAGUCCUGUUUCAUUGCUUUGGAGUCCCGGAAGUGAUAGUGUCAGAUAACGGUGUUCAAUUCAAGUCACACAAUUUCAAUGAUCUGUUAGCGAAAUACCAAAUUCGACAUUCGUAUGCCCCCCAAACCAAUGCCUCAGAGUGGGUAAAUCGCUCGGUACUCGCUGCUAUCAAAGCAAAAUAGCUUCAUUACUUGUGCGUUACGGUCCAGUGUGCAUGCAGCCGUCAAAAGUUGCCCAUAUCGUGUUGCUUUUGGCCAAAACAUGAUUACUGGCGGUUCCACUUAUCAACUCCCACGAAGCAUCAGUAUGUUGGAGGACCGAACUGUAGUCUUUGAUCGCGACGAUUCCUUCGAGCUAAUUGGCAAGACCGCUGCAGAAACACUGAAACAGCAACAUGUUCGAAAGGAAAGAAGAAGUUUAUAGACGAAAUUUUGACCAGAGUAGUUUUGUGAAAGGCUUUAAUGCGAAACUGGCACCUACGUUUCGGAAAGCCCGCAUAAAGAAACAACUCGGGAUCAGCAACUACGACCUGGAAGAUUUCCAGGUGCGCUUUAUUGGUAAAUAUCACGCAAAAGGUAUUAUGCAAUAAAUCGUAUCCAGCACUGCAAGUGUCGAUCACGCAUUGGUUAGCAAGACCCUAAAGUGUGAUUUCAGAGGGGGGGUGUAAUAUUCGACGCUUGUCGUGACUUUUAUUUGAAAUUUCAACGGCUAACUCCCAAAAUUACAGCCUAAAACUAGGCAGUAAAAAUUCGAGUUGCAGCUCUUGUGAGCUUUAACCAUACAGAGAUUAUCAAUAGCCGUGCACUAUAUUUUAUUAAAUAUUGCUGUGGCUGGAUUCUGUAUAACAGAAGAAGACCAUAGAAAGUGUGGGAAAAACGUGGGUUGCUGUACCUAGUAGUCCCAGCCUCUUUCUUUUUCUCCUCGUGACCGUCAGAGUGACCGGCAGUGGAAAAAGAAGUCUUGUAGAGCUGACCCAGUUCUCUAAAACAAGGUCUAGCCAAAGUCAAAGCCUAGUGCAAAACAGUGGUGCAAUUCUGUUGAGGAUUAGCACCACUAGUAUCUACGUAUUGAAACGCUGGUCUAGAAGUUACUGAUUGGUUAUUACCGGAGCCACGUCCCCGUACCACCGGUUAAAACCCACCGUUCGACAUUCGGAUGAGGCGGUAGCCGAAGGCAUGGACUUGCUUCUCAAGUAAACCCGAUCGGUGUGCUCUGCAAGCGUCGCGUAGACCCGUUCGACCCAUGGGGAUGAUCUGACUGACUCUUCAAAUACACCAGUCGCCCCACGAGCAAUCCAAAGUGUGAGUGUACCUAACCUCACACCGCAGAUGGACCGCGGUCAUGGACCCCUGGCAUCGGAAGCACCUAAUGUUACCUGCGCCCGGUUCAAUCGUGUGACACCUUCAGACCUCGAGUAGGAACUCGGUCUCCAGCCGGAAAGCAUCGGAUUUUGUUCUAUUUUCUAUCUUUCUUUCGAAAUUAGACCCGAUAUGCGAAACCCUGUUUUUUUAUCCGCUUUCUGUUUAACAAUGUUCUUUUGAUACGGCAAAAAUGUGCAAAAGCCAAUGAAAUCCGGUUUAAACAAAAAGGGAAUUCCUGUCCAUGGGCUAAGUCAAACUGGACAAAAAUGAGUAGUGUAAUAAUACCGAUUAUUUUUACAGUUUUUGAUUUUGGUCGCAUAUACUCAUCCCAAUCACCUCAUCCAACACACAACGAAAGAUCUUUCUACGUGGGAGUCAAAGUUAUUAAUCGUCUCGUAAGUGAUUAUCAUAAAAAA